This 92-nucleotide transfer RNA is filed under the name Desulfonatronospira thiodismutans ASO3-1. It matches the Rfam family "tRNA". Rfam says of the family: Transfer RNA (tRNA) molecules are approximately 80 nucleotides in length. Their secondary structure includes four short double-helical elements and three loops (D, anti-codon, and T loops). Further hydrogen bonds mediate the characteristic L-shaped molecular structure. tRNAs have two regions of fundamental functional importance: the anti-codon, which is responsible for specific mRNA codon recognition, and the 3' end, to which the tRNAs corresponding amino acid is attached (by aminoacyl-tRNA synthetases). tRNAs cope with the degeneracy of the genetic code in two manners: having more than one tRNA (with a specific anti-codon) for a particular amino acid; and 'wobble' base-pairing, i.e. permitting non-standard base-pairing at the 3rd anti-codon position. The record is from Rfam by way of RNAcentral. Lineage: Bacteria; Pseudomonadati; Thermodesulfobacteriota; Desulfovibrionia; Desulfovibrionales; Desulfonatronovibrionaceae.
GGAGAGGUAGCGAAGUCCGGCUGUAACGCGCCCGGCUCGAAACCGGGUUGUCCCUUAACCGGGGCACGUGGGUUCGAAUCCCACCCUCUCCG